GACGAACGCUGGCGGCGUGCUUAACACAUGCAAGUCGAACGAUGAAGCGGGUGCUUGCACUCGUGGAUUAGUGGCGAACGGGCGAGUAACACGUGAGUAGCCUGUCCUUUUCUUUGGGAUAACGGCUGGAAACGGCUGCUAAUACUGGAUAUUCAGGCUGCAUCGCAUGGUGUGGUUUGGAAAGGUUUUUUCUGGGAUUGGGUGGGCUCGCGGCCUAUCAGCUUGUUGGUGGGGUGAUGGCUUACCAAGGCUUUGACGGGUAGCCGGCCUGAGAGGGUGGUCGGUCGCACUGGGACUGAGAUACGGCCCAGACUCCUACGGGAGGCAGCAGUGGGGAAUAUUGCACAAUGGACGAAAGUUUGAUGCAGCGACGCCGCGUGGAGGGUGUAGGCCUUCGGGUUGUGAACUCCUUUUUCUCGCGAAAAAGGCACAGUUUUGGCUGUGUUGAUGGUAGUGGGGGAAGAAGCGCCGGCUAACUACGUG
RNAcentral lists this ribosomal RNA (483 nucleotides) under uncultured bacterium. RNAcentral describes it as "partial 16S ribosomal RNA". It matches the Rfam family "Bacterial small subunit ribosomal RNA", at positions 28 to 507 of the family's 1533-position model. The record is from RNAcentral.